This 119-nucleotide ribosomal RNA is filed under the name Pteropus alecto (black flying fox). Lineage: Eukaryota; Metazoa; Chordata; Mammalia; Chiroptera; Pteropodidae. The record is from RNAcentral.
AACUAUGGCCAUGCCACCCUGAAAAAGCCUGAUCCCGUCUGAUCUCGGAAGCUAAUCAGGGUUGGGCCUGGUUAGUACUUAGAUGGGAGACCACCUAGGAAGUCCAGGUGCUGUAGGCA